RNAcentral lists this long non-coding RNA (1175 nucleotides) under Mytilus galloprovincialis (Mediterranean mussel). Lineage: Eukaryota; Metazoa; Mollusca; Bivalvia; Mytilida; Mytilidae. The record is from RNAcentral.
GUAAAUGUUGAUAUGAGUUGAGCAAAUCAGCGUCAGUUCGAAUUAAUUUAGAAAAAUUUAAUUUUAUUCUUUCUAAAUAUUUGAUACAAGGUUCAGUGUAAAAUCGUCGAACUUGCAAACAAAAUAUUUUGUCUGAAAAUUCGAAACAUCGCCAUCCAUGUAAAUAAAGCGAACGUAAUGUAUUUAACAAAACCUCACGUGCACGCCCUUUUGACCCAUUCUCAAAUAAAUCGUUUUGUGGAAUAAAGUAAUGUGGACAAAAUGAAAAUUCAACAUAAUAAAUCAAUCUUUUAAAACAUGCCAUAAAACAAGAUAUUAGGUUUUUGGGUUUCCAUAUGGAUGGUUUCAUUUCCUCAGAGAUCCAGAAAAUAAGAGUUUUUAUGACAUAAGAGCAGAUUAAUUCAUGAUAUUCUACGUGUAUGAGUUUAUUUAAUACAUCUUUCAGAAGAAUUUUCAUAAGACGAUAGCACAUCAGUUGUGUAUGUGCAAAGGUAUAAAUUAAUAGUCUCUCGCCCACAUUGAAGGAUAUUCUCCAUUGAAGUUCCUCUCUUGGUGAUCCCUUAUAACCUACUGGUACAAACAAUACACCAUGUUUCACGAUAGUCUGCUUGACCUCAUUACUUGGCCAUAAGUUUUUCGAUCUUGUUAUCCAGUUUUCUGCUGUAGAUAUCCAUAAUUUACUGUGUAAAGCGUAUGCAUAGUCGUAGUCUCCAUCUUUAGUCGAAAUACAAGGUCCCUUAAUAUAGUUAUUACCGGUUUGACUGUCUAAAAUCUCCUGUUUAAAAAGUACGUUUGAAAAAUAAUACUUUCUAUGUAUCUUCUUACAGAGUUGAAAUGCGUUACUGUUGUUAGAAAAUAUAAGCAGUAGCAUAGUAUAACCUGGAUAUACUGCUUCAGUUUCCAUUUUGAAAUAUGUUUUACAAAAGUCAAAAGCGAAUUUUCUUUCUUCAGAAACUUCUAUAUUUCUUUGCACUAGUACGAUAUCUAUAUCUCCUCCAUGUAUAUCAAGACCCUCUCCAAAACUUCCACCGGUAAUAACAACGUUUAAAUCGUUGGUUGUUAAAUUGUCCCGAACAUUUAUCAACAUUCUAAUUGUCUUUACAUACUCUUCAGAUCCCACUAUAUGUUCACACAUAUAUUUGUACAAAGCUAAAGAUAUACAUGUAGUGGUGACA